UUACUAGUAAUCGCAGAGCAGAAUGCUGCGGUGAAUGCGUUCCCGGGUCUUGUACACACCGCCCGUCACACCACGGGAGUUGGAGACGCCCGAAGCCGAUUAUCUAACCUUUUGGAAGAAGGCGUCGAAGGUGGAAUCAAUAACUGGGGUGAAGUCGUAACAAGGUAGCCGUAUCGGAAGGUGCGGCUGGAUCACCUCCUUUCUAAGGAGA
RNAcentral lists this ribosomal RNA (211 nucleotides) under Clostridioides difficile. RNAcentral's name for it is "partial 16S ribosomal RNA". It matches the Rfam family "Bacterial small subunit ribosomal RNA", at positions 1332 to 1533 of the family's 1533-position model. Lineage: Bacteria; Bacillati; Bacillota; Clostridia; Peptostreptococcales; Peptostreptococcaceae. The record is from RNAcentral.